GACGAACGCUGGCGGCGUGCUUAACACAUGCAAGUCGUACGGUAAGGCCCUUUCGGGGGUACACGAGUGGCGAACGGGUGAGUAACACGUGAGUAACCUGCCCACAACUUUGGGAUAACGCUAGGAAACUGGUGCUAAUACUGGAUAUGUGCUCCUGCUGCAUGGUGGGGGUUGGAAAGCUCCGGCGGUUGUGGAUGGACUCGUGGCCUAUCAGCCUGUUGGUGGGGUAGUGGCCUACCAAGGCGGCGACGGGUAGCCGGCCUGAGAGGGUGACCGGCCACAUUGGGACUGAGAUACGGCCCAGACUCCUACGGGAGGCAGCAGUGGGGAAUAUUGCACAAUGGGCGCAAGCCUGAUGCAGCAACGCCGCGUGCGGGAUGACGGCCUUCGGGUUGUAAACCGCUUUCAGCAGGGACGAAGCUUUUUGUGACGGUACCUGCAGAAGAAGCACCGGCUAACUACGUG
RNAcentral lists this ribosomal RNA (465 nucleotides) under uncultured bacterium. RNAcentral's name for it is "partial 16S ribosomal RNA". It matches the Rfam family "Bacterial small subunit ribosomal RNA", at positions 28 to 507 of the family's 1533-position model. The record is from RNAcentral.